RNAcentral lists this ribosomal RNA (260 nucleotides) under uncultured Leptotrichia sp. RNAcentral describes it as "partial 16S ribosomal RNA". It matches the Rfam family "Bacterial small subunit ribosomal RNA", at positions 97 to 355 of the family's 1533-position model. Lineage: Bacteria; Fusobacteriati; Fusobacteriota; Fusobacteriia; Fusobacteriales; Leptotrichiaceae. The record is from RNAcentral.
GGCGGACGGGUGAGUAACGCGUAAAGAACUUGCCCUUUAGACUGGGNUAAAACAGAGGGAAACUUCUGAUAAUACUGGAUAAGUUAGUAUAUCGCAUGAUAUACAAAUGAAAGCUAAGGCACUAAAGGAGAGCUUUGCGUCCUAUUAGCUAGUUGGUAAGGUAAGAGCUUACCAAGGCGAUGAUAGGUAGCCGGCCUGAGAGGGUGGACGGCCACAAGGGGACUGAGAUACGGCCCUUACUCCUACGGGAGGCAGCAGUU